GAGCCUUCCAAUUCCGGAUUGUAGUUCAUUCCAAAUAUUGUCAAGUUGACAACCAGGAAUAGCCACUACAGUAGUCUAACCUCUCCAAACCUGUGGGUCAAAUGGGAGAAAACCAGCCUGUAGUUCCCAAGUCUGAUUUCUCUGGGGAAUUGUCAAUGUCACUCAGGAGUUAAGAGGAGGCUCAGGCAACACUCCUGAUUCCAGGAGAGCAGUUCUCCAUCUGUGGAGCUGAUACAUUUGACUUUAUAGAGGAUGUCAGUGGAAAAAUAUUUAUUACCGAAAACAAAUUCUUAGAAACCAGACCUAAAAUUCUAAAAUUGAGAGAUUUUACAUAAACCUUAUUGUGUAAUGGUGGUAAGUAAAGAAAGACUCAAAGAGAUUACAGGCUGGCUACCUAGGUAUGCAGUGUGUGUGUGUGUGUAUGGGGGUGUCUCCCAGGGCUGUUCAUGGUUUUGGUUUUUUGUUUGUUUUGUUUCUUUUUAUUUUAUCUUGUGUGAGUGAGCUUCUUUGAAGACAGAUUGCCAAUGUGAUAUUCUUGGUAAAUAUAAGAUCAAUGCUUCUGUUUCUGGUGCUAUACUUUUUCUCUUCUGGUCCCAGGUUCUGCUGCGGGAACCAUGGAUUACUGGAUUACAGACAUAGCCAAAUCCAGGAACCGUACCAUAUACAACCACUCUAGCAAAUGGCACAGAAAUGGCAUCAUGAAACCAAAGUCACAAAGAUAUGAAUCUCUUAAGGAAUGUGUGUUUUGCCAAGAAGAACAUGAAGGCCUGAAGAAGAUGCAGGCCAUCAAAACAAAGGCAAAGCUCAGAGGAGAAAAAGAAAAAGAUGAAGAGGUAAAGUACAGUGUACUUUGGGACUCAAGAAACGAUUCUUCAUGACUCUGUCAUGAUCUACUCUCCAUGCACUCCCUCCUUAUGCAUAUCACACAGCUAUUGGAUAAGGUUUCUAGAUCAGUCUCAUUAUUAUUGAUCAACCAAACCAACCAAUGGAAUGUGUCCAAUAUACUCACUUGUAAAGUUGCAGAAGUAUAUCAACUUUUCUGGAACCCAGAAGACUCAGGAAAUAGCUUAUUCUGAGUAGUCCACAAUAAGAAAGAAAACUCACACUUCAGGCUGUUGACAUAUGAAAUCUAUGAGCAGUAUUCAUAUGAUUAUUCUCAUCAAAGUCACUCCAUUUUCCUGUUCUCACCACCAUUUAUUUCUCCUCCUCCUCCUCCUCCUUCUCCUCCUCCCUUCCUCCUCCCCUCCGCUCCCCUCUUCAUCUUCCUCCUCCUACAGGUGAAUUAGAAUAUUUCUGUUAUUUCUGUGCAGUCCCAAAACCUAACGAAUAUCAAAGACUCUUCGUCCAUCUUGGGGUUAUGUUAAAGAAAUAAUGUAUGUGCUAACGUGAAACACAAACCAAGCUUCUGAGAAGUCUCUACCAACUUAACUCUGAAAGGCGUGUGACAAGGCAUGUGACAUCCUGUGUCUGGGUCACCUGGCAUUGCAGUUUUUUCUAGGACUGCUUUGGCCUUCACCUGCUGUUUUGGCAUCACGUCUUAAGUGAAUGCUCCUUUUCAGAUGGCUCCAGACUGAACUGUCCCCUGAAUGGUUACUGGACACUAUCUCAACCCAUGGUGAAUAGUGCAAUCUAUAAGGAGGGCUGACAAACAUGGAUCACAGAGAACAGAUCUAAGGCAGAUGAAUUCCCAGAACCAAGAAGAUAAAGUGGACAUGAGCUCCCAUCCCAAACCAAGAAGCUAUCUCCAGUUGACAACUGCUUAUGAAAGAAAAUUUAGCUUUUACCAUUGGAGUCUCACUGGGUAUAUAACUGCACUUGAGGGUAAGACCGUGUGUGAUGGUAGAUGGCUACCAAAAUGUGUUAUUUUGGGAUAUUUUCUAUCUCUUAUUGCUUUUGGAAGACAUUUUUUUAAAAGUUGUUGCUUGUGUAUUUUGAUUUCUGAUUCUGGGCUUUGAUGGGUUUUACUUUUGUGUAUACAUGUUUAUCUUUCUGUGUGUGUUUCUUGUGCCUUUUCUGUUUUGUUUUUUGAUUUUGUCUUUUUGUUCUUUCAAAAAUUGUUUGUUUUGUAAAGAGAGAGAAAGAAAGAGUGCUGUUGGGUGAGUAGGAAGGUGGUCGGGAUCUUCAAGGAGAUGGAUUAGUGAAAUGGAGGUCAAGUUGUAAUGAGAAUAGAUUGUGUGAGGAAAAAAAAUACUUUCAAUAAAAAGGAAAAGCAUCUAGCCAAAGAAACAGACACACACAGAGAGAGAGAGAGAGAGAGAGAGAGAGAGGGAGAGAGAGAGAGAGAGAAUCUCAAGCCAUUUCUUUGCCAUGCCUUAUGAAUAUCAUAAAAUGAAAUGCAAACAAGCCCUUCCGCCCUUCCUAGCAUCUUUACUAUUAUGUUUAUCUUUAGCUCAAGGAAAUACUCAAGCAUUUACUGAGGUUGCCCCCCCACACUUGAGAUCCCCUACUUCUGAAGCCACAAGUCUACAUGAGACAGAAUAGUUUCCCGUUUUUACUAUGUAUGGAAUGUUGGUUCCAGUUAUCUUGGAGACCUGACCUUCUUUCAUUGUUUGAAGGGUUUAAAUAGGUUUCUCAGUGUCUACUUUUGCCUGGUGAAUUUGUUCACAAACAACUGAGUCAUUUAACUGACACUUCCAUUUUAACAGCUAAGGCUUUAUGAGCCCCACUAUGUCUUGGCUUUUUAACUGAGUAAUUUGAUAGUCAUUAACGUUUUUUGCUUUAUUUCAAGGAACAGUUUACACCUGUGUAGUUACCGUUAAGUUACAGAAUCAAUCAAGAGUUUGCUGAAAUCCUAAAUAAAAGCAAAGUUUCCAAUGAAAAGCAAACCCACCAAGGAAACCAACUUCUGGUUAUCACUUAGAGCCCCAUACUCUCAAAAUUAAGCUCAAUGAGUAAAGCUUCAAUUUUUACCAUUAGUUGAAGACAUAAAUAUGAAGCCAGGAGACUGUAAGCUGUGGCUGCCUACUGAGACAUCAGUGAGGAAACACAGCUGCCUUCCUGUUUGGAAAGCUGUUUCUUUACCAGCCCCCACUCCUCCUCCUCCUCUCUCUCUCUCUCAAGUUGAAAAUCUUUCUUGUUGCUUACCAUCAACAGUUCAACUUCUAUGAGUCCUAGGAGUCCAUUUCUGCAGUCCACCAUCUCCUCUCCUUUCAGGAGAUCCUGGAAUUUGAAGUCAGCACAAACACUGGUGAAGGCAUGAAGCUCAUUUCCAGGUGGCCUUCAUUUCUGGACGUAGGGUCAAGUCAUUCAGGAGCGUUCUCCCUGCCUUUGAGUUCGGGUGACCAACCUUAAAGGGCAGGUGUGGCUUCUCAGAAGGACUCUGACUCUCCUCACCUUUCAGUUACCCCCAUGGAACUCUUUCCUCAGAGAUCUGCAGAACUUGAUGACAGGAAUGUAAAUGUCUUUGUAGUGAUAGAGCUAUCUGUGUAAAGGCUGGAUCACCUUGUGAUCUCUGCUUCCCAGAGCAAAGCCUGCUUUUGUUGCUUGUAAUAUCAAAUAAACAUAUCCUGAAGCUGGUGUA
Molecule: long non-coding RNA, 3520 nt
Organism: Mus musculus (house mouse)
Lineage: Eukaryota; Metazoa; Chordata; Mammalia; Rodentia; Muridae
Product: predicted gene, 31907
Exons: 7
Source: RefSeq, a predicted model, not a curated record